UCUACGGGGAGCAGCAGUGGGGAAUAUUGGACAAUGGGCGAAAGCCUGAUCCAGCCAUGCCGCGUGUGUGAAGAAGGCCUUCGGGUUGUAAAGCACUUUCAGUGGGGAAGAAAGCCUUGGGGCUAAUACCCUCGAGGAAGGACAUCACCCACAGAAGAAGCACCGGCUAACUCCGUGCCAGCAGCCGCGGUAAUACGGAGGGUGCGAGCGUUAAUCGGAAUUACUGGGCGUAAAGCGCGCGUAGGCGGUCUGAUAAGCCGGUUGUGAAAGCCCCGGGCUCAACCUGGGAACGGCAUCCGGAACUGUCAGGCUAGAGUGCAGGAGAGGAAGGUAGAAUUCCCGGUGUAGCGGUGAAAUGCGUAGAGAUCGGGAGGAAUACCAGUGGCGAAGGCGGCCUUCUGGACUGACACUGACGCUGAGGUGCGAAAGCGUGGGUAGCAAACAGGAUUAGAUACCCCGGUAGUC
RNAcentral lists this ribosomal RNA (465 nucleotides) under Vreelandella stevensii. Its description in RNAcentral is "partial 16S ribosomal RNA". It matches the Rfam family "Bacterial small subunit ribosomal RNA", at positions 338 to 795 of the family's 1533-position model. Lineage: Bacteria; Pseudomonadati; Pseudomonadota; Gammaproteobacteria; Oceanospirillales; Halomonadaceae. The record is from RNAcentral.